CACAGACCUCCAUCCCAGACAUGUCCUUAACCUUGGCAAAAUAAACUUCCAAAUUGAUUGAGACCCAUCUCAGGACUUUGAAAAUGUCAACCUACUCCCUCCUGACCUGUAUGGUUUCCAUUGAGAAUACCAAAUGAAUUGGAGCUCCUUUAGGUUAUUUGCUAAUUUUCUCUUGCUGCUUUUAGGAUCUUCUCUUUAUCGUUGUCCUUUGAGAGUUUGAUUAUAUCUUUUGAGGUAGUCUUAUUUGGAUCAUACCAAAAAUCAGUAGCAUUUCUAUAUGCCAACAGUGAAUAAUCUGAAAAAAAAAUAAAAGGGUAAUCCCAUUUAUAAUAACCAUGAAUAAAACUAAAUACCUUGGAAAUAAACUUAACCAAAGAAGUGAAAGAUCUUUCUAUAAUGAAAUCUAUAAAAAACUGAUGAAAGAAAUUGAGGAGGACACCAAACAUGGAAAAAUAUUCCAUGUUCAUGGAUUAGAAGAUUCAAUAUUGUUAAAAUGUUCGUACUACCCAAAGCAAUCUACAGAUUCAAUGUAAUCCCUAUCAAAAUACCAAUGUCAUUCUUCACAGAAAUGGAAAAAACAAUCCUAAAAUUUAUGUAGAACCACAAAAGAACCAGAAUAGCUAAAGCUGUCCUAAGCAAAAGGAACAAAACUGGAGGUAUCACAUUACCUGACUUCAAAUUAUACUACAGAACUAUAGUAACCUAAACAACAUGGUACUGGCAUAACAAACACAUAGACCAAUGGAACAGAAUAGAGAACCCAGAAACAAACCAAGACAUCUAGAGUGAACUCAUUUUCAACGAAUGUGCCAAGAACCUACACUGGGGAAAUACAGUCUCGUCAAUAAAUGGUACUGGGAAACCUGAAUAUACAUAUGUGGAAGAAUGUAACUAGACCCUUAUCUCUUUCCAUAUACAAAAAUCAAAUCAAAAUGAAUUAAAGAUUUAAAUAUAAGACCUCAUACUAUGAAACAACUGUAAGAAAACAUUGGAGAAACUCUCUAGGACAUUUGUCUGGGCAACAAUUUAUCGAGUAAUAUCACAUAAGAACAGGCAACCAAAGCAAAAAUGGACAAAUGGAAUCACAUAAAUUUAAAAAGCUUCUGUGCAGCAAAGGAAACAACAAAGUGAAAAGAUAACCCACAGAAUAGGAGAAAAUAUUUGCAAACUACUCAUCUGACAAGGUAUUAAUAACCAGAAUAUUUAAGGAACUCAAACAACUCUAUAAGAAAAAACUAAUAAUCCAGUUAAAAAUGGGCAGAAGAUUUGAACAGACAUUUCUCAAAAGAAGAUACACAAAUGACAAACAGGCAUAUGAAACAGUGCUCAACAUCAUUGAUCAUCACAGAAAUGCAAAUCAAAACUGCAAUGAGAUGUCAUCUCACCCCAGUUAAAAUAGCUUAUAUCCAAAAGAUAGGCAACAGCAAAUGCUGGCAAGGACGUGGAAAAAAGGAAACCCUCAUACACCGUUGGUAGGAAUGUAAAUUAGUACAACCACUGUGGAAAACAGUUUGGAGGUUUCUCGAAAAACUGUAAAUUGAGCUACCAUACAGUUUAGCAAUCCCAUUCCUAGUAUAUACCCAAAGAAAGGAAAUCAGGAUAUUGAAGAGGUAUCUGCACCUCCAUGUUUAUUGCAGCCCUAUUCACAAUAGCCAAGAUUUGGAAGCAACCUAAGUGUUCAUCAAGAGAUGAAUAAAUAAAGAAAAUAUGAUACUUACACAGAAUGGAGUACUAUUCAGCCAUAAAAAGAAUGAGAUCCUGUAAUUUGCGACAACAUGGAUGGGACUGGAGGUCACUAUGCUAAGUGAAUUGAGCCAGGCACAGAAAGACAAACAUCACAUGUUCUCACUUAUUUGUGGGAGCUAUAAAUCAAAGCAAUUGAACUAAUGGAGACAGAGAGUAGAAUGAUGGUUACCAGAGGCUGGGAAGGAUAGUGGGUGAGUUGGGGAGGUGGGGAUGGUUAAUAGGUAACAAAAAAAUUAGUUCAAAAGAAUGAAUAAGAUCUAGUAUUUGGUAUCACAACAGGGUAAAUAUAGUCAAUAAUAAUUUAGCUGUACAUUUUAAAAUAACUAAAAGAGUAUAAUUGGAUUGUUUGUAAUACAAAGGAUAAAUAUUGAGGGAUGGAUAUCAUAUUUCCCGUGAUAUGAUUAUUACGCAUUGCAUGCCUGUAUCAAAACAGCUCAUGUACCCCUUAAAUAAAUAUACCUACUAUGUACCCAGAAACAUUAAAAAUAAGAGGUUUUUUAAAAAAUAAA
Molecule: long non-coding RNA, 2255 nt
Filed under: Homo sapiens (human)
Lineage: Eukaryota; Metazoa; Chordata; Mammalia; Primates; Hominidae
Description: HSALNT0282075
Source: RNAcentral